GAUCAUGGCUCAGGAUGAACGCUGGCGGCGUGCCUAACACAUGCAAGUCGAACGGAAACUAAGCGCUUCGGAGACUUCGGUCAAUGUUGCUUGGUUUAGUGGCGGACGGGUGAGUAACGCGUGGAUAACCUGCCUCAUACAGGGGGAUAACAGUUAGAAAUGACUGCUAAUACCGCAUAAGCGCACAGUUUCGCAUGGAACAGUGUGAAAAACUCCGGUGGUAUGAGAUGGAUCCGCGUCUGAUUAGCUAGUUGGCGGGGUAACAGCCCACCAAGGCGACGAUCAGUAGCCGGCCUGAGAGGGUGAACGGCCACAUUGGGACUGAGACACGGCCCAAACUCCUACGGGAGGCAGCAGUGGGGGAUAUUGCACAAUGGGGGAAACCCUGAUGCAGCCGACGCCGCGUGAGUGAAGAAGUAUUUCGGUAUGUAAAGCUCUAUCAGCAGGGAAGAUAAUGACGGUACCUGACUAAGAAGCACCGGCUAAAUACGUGCCAGCAGCGGC
RNAcentral lists this ribosomal RNA (504 nucleotides) under uncultured bacterium. RNAcentral's name for it is "bacterial SSU rRNA". It matches the Rfam family "Bacterial small subunit ribosomal RNA", at positions 15 to 518 of the family's 1533-position model. The record is from RNAcentral.